RNAcentral lists this ribosomal RNA (503 nucleotides) under uncultured bacterium. RNAcentral's name for it is "partial 16S ribosomal RNA". It matches the Rfam family "Bacterial small subunit ribosomal RNA", at positions 30 to 523 of the family's 1533-position model. The record is from RNAcentral.
AUUGAACGCUGGCGGCAGGCUUAACACAUGCAAGUCGAGCGGGGUGAUGGUGCUUGCACUAUCACUUAGCGGCGGACGGGUGAGUAAUGCUUAGGAAUCUGCCUAUUAGUGGGGGACAACAUCUCGAAAGGGAUGCUAAUACCGCAUACGUCCUACGGGAGAAAGCAGGGGAUCACUUGUGACCUUGCGCUAAUAGAUGAGCCUAAGUCGGAUUAGCUAGUUGGUGGGGUAAAGGCCUACCAAGGCGACGAUCUGUAGCGGGUCUGAGAGGAUGAUCCGCCACACUGGGACUGAGACACGGCCCAGACUCCUACGGGAGGCAGCAGUGGGGAAUAUUGGACAAUGGGGGGAACCCUGAUCCAGCCAUGCCGCGUGUGUGAAGAAGGCCUUAUGGUUGUAAAGCACUUUAAGCGAGGAGGAGGCUCUUUUGGUUAAUACCCAGAAUGAGUGGACGUUACUCGCAGAAUAAGCACCGGCUAACUCUGUGCCAGCCGCCGCGGUAA